Equus caballus (horse) is the source of this 2904-nucleotide long non-coding RNA. The record is from Ensembl. NCBI's taxonomy places the organism in Eukaryota, Metazoa, Chordata, Mammalia, Perissodactyla, Equidae.
GAGUUUGAAUGGAUAAGGGAGUGAGGACAAUACCGUCCAGGUGGAGCAAGAGGACUAUAAAAAGCCCCAGAGAUGUGAGAGAUCACAAAGCCAUCUCCUUUCUAUCAAUACUCCCAAGCUUUAGUUCAGGCUCUCUUCUUUCUUCAAACUAUUCAAAAAUCUUGUAAUUGACCCACCUGUCCCCAGUCAUGUAAAGGCUGCCAAUGAUGUCCUUAUCUGUAACCCAGGCACUUUAGCUUCAUCCCCUGGAGGGAGCAGAGUGUAGUGCUCCUCUGGGAAGGAGAAAAGAUGAUCAGGGAAGCACUCUGCCUCCUUCUCUGGCUGUGAAGUCCACAAGUGACUCCUUUUGCUGCCCAGUCUUCCAUAGGAAAGGUAUAGGUGCCCGCCAUUAUGAGGUGGGGGGUAGUAUUUUCCCUUCUUUCUGUCCAGUGAACCCAAAAGCAUAGGACCCCAAAGAAGAUCCAAACAAGUCUUUACUUAAGGUUUCAGACAAUAAAAUACAUAUCAUCGAGAGUGGUAGUGUGGGGUAAGGGUGGACUUUAAAUGGCUUCACCUCCCUUAUUUUAAUCUAAUCCCCAUUCUAGAAGGUAUUCACAUGGAUGUUCCCCCCAAUGGCAGAGUGUCUCCCCAUGGAAUCCUUCUUCUCCUUUCCUCAUGCUACCCUCUUCUUGCAUCCCCUGUGCUUGGGGUGUUUCCUUGUUUUUCCUCUUCCCUUUUUGGAUCGUGGACCUUCUCCCAGCAAUUAUCAGGCCUCUGGCCUCUUCUUGGGUCUUGGAAAUCUUCUCAGUCUCCAAGUUGUAUGUUGAAGGUUGCUGAUUUUGAGUCAUAAGUCAGUCAUAGUCAUUCUUUCCCCUAUCCACUUCUAUUCCAGGCUAAGGGGAGAAAGGGAAUUUUCGGUGGUGAGGAGAAGAGAAAGGGCAUUGGGAGUGGCUGUCCACUUUGUAUUGCAGCUUAAUUUUAUUUUUCUGGUUUUCUUGAGAGGUAUCUUUAAAAAAAAUCAGAGAUCUUAUCCUGCAAGGGUCAUUCUCCAGCCAAUAACAGUCACUGAGUCUUUAUAUGAGAUUCAUAUUUGUCGGUGUCGCAAUCCAAUGUACACAUCAGGAUAGAUGCGGAGAGGGCUGAUGGCCACUCUGAGUUUAUCAUAACCAGCGUUUCAAUAUAUACAUAGCUUACAGCUCUUAAACAUACACAGGUGUUCUGGAUGAAGUAAUUAGCGAAUGCCAAGAAUUCUUAGUGAUUUCUCAAGGAGCCCUCCCUUGGCCUCUGUUUUGAUAUUAUCAUGUUAUUGCUGUGCUCCUAUAUUUUUAUCUCGGAGCAGGCAAGGUCUCUUAGGCAAUGGUCCCUCCUGCUCCCGAUAUCAAUAUUGUUUCUCCAUCUGUGCCCCCCGGGCGGCCGCCGCCUGUCUUAGAUUGCCCCCCCAGGGGGUCUUACCCGUCAUUGGCUAACCGGCCUUCUCACCUCUGGGUCACAGUUUGUUGGCAAGCUUUUUCCAGUGAUUAUUAACCCUUCCUGUGUCAGGGGCGGCUACAAAUUCCCUCUCCUAAUGUUCGUUCUUAUUUUGCUUUGCAUAUUUUUUAAAGUAUCUCCCUCCUUAGCAACCUGAAUAACAUUACAAAUCCAUGAACCUAGACUCAGAAGGUGUCAUGUCCAGUCACUGCUUCUCAAUUCCUGGCCUCCUCUCCCUCAACUGCAGUGGGGAGAGACAAGGACAGCCCUACUACAUAUCUCAACCUCUGCCUGAGGCACAUCUUCAAUCUCUGGCCUAAAGGAUCAAGUCCAAACUUCUUGUCAAAGCAUAGGCUCUGACGAAGAACUGGCCCUGCCUCUUCUCCACCCCAUCUCCAAUUACCUUCCACAAAUAAUGAAUGCAACAGCAAUAUGAAACCACUAGUCUUUAUGGUUCCCACCUCCUAGGCCUUUGAGAGUUCUACUUCCUCUGCCUGGAGUCCUUUCACAAACAUUGUCUACCUGGCAAACGCCUAUCCAUGGAUCAAAACACCUUGGAGGCACAAUCUCCUCUUUGAAGCCUUCCCUGAUCAGCCCCUCAUAAUCAUUCUCUCUGCUAUAUUACCUCUAUACCUCAUACACAACUUUUAUUAUUAUUAGCUUCCAUUUGUUGAGUGUGUCUGUUUUAUUCCAGAGAUGAUAAAACAAAAGUUAUUUAGGAAGAGUCGAGUAGCUUACUUAAAUCCACAAAAUUAAAGCAAGAUGCAGGAUUUUCAUCAAGGCUUGUCUAGCUCCAAAGUCUAUACAUUAUCCACUGCCACAUUCUACCUCCUAUUUCUGCAUGUAUUAUUUGUUUAUAUCGUAUAUUAUUUGUUUAUAUCAGUUUCCCCCAUAUACACCUCUUGACUGAGAUUAACUGAAAACAGGAACAAUGUUUUAUUCAUCUUUGCAUCACCAGUACCUGGAAUAUAAUAUGCAUUCAAUAAAUGUUUGUGGAACUCAGCUGAACUCUUUUUUAAAUGCAAAUCCUAUUAGUUGUAUUCAAUAUUGCUCUAUCUUCUUUUCAUUGAUUAAUUCUUGGUAUUUAUCUAAAUUUAUCUUCUUCAUUUUGGAUCAUUAAAAAGAGGUUCAAUGGGAUGUUUUUCAAAUUCAUUACCUCCCAAAAGGGUAAUGAACCAAAGAGCAGGAUUGUCAUCACUUUAAUAGUGAUGUACUUGAUUCAAGCAAUCAUUUCUAGACAUGCUUUAGGAAGCAAAAUAUUAGCUCUCCAGUUGCCAAAUUCCAAAUCUUGACUUAGCAGGAAGAGGCCCAAUUCGGGGAAAGAAUUUUUAUCAUUGACUUCAAGCAAACAUACUUAAGCUACAGUUGGCACAUCUUCUCUGUAUGCUCAGGAUUUUUACAGAUGGGGUCACAUUGUAAUUGUAUCUUCUCCUAUAAGCUAUUGAUGAUGAUAUGCAU